CCAAUAGCGUAUAUUAAAGUUGUUGCAGUUAAAAAGCUCGUAGUUGAAUUUCGGGGUUAGUAGGUUGGUCAUGCCUCUGGUAUGUACUGGUCUCACUGAUUCCUCCUUCCUGAUGAACCUUAAUGCCAUUAAUUUGGUGUUUUGGGGAAUUUGGACUGUUACUUUGAAAAAAUUAGAGUGUUUAAAGCAAGCUAACGCUUGAAUACAUUAGCAUGGAAUAAUGAAAUAGGACGUUCGAUCCUAUUUUGUUGGUUUCUAGGAUUGGCGUAAUGAUUAAUAGGGAUAGUUGGGGGCAUUAGUAUUCAAUUGUCAGAGGUGAAAUUCUUGGAUUUAUUGAAGACUAACUACUGCGAAAGCAUUUGCCAAGGAUGUUUUCAUUAAUCAAGAACGAAAGUUAGGGGAUCGAAGACGAUCAGAUACCGUCGUAGUCUUAACCAUAAACUAUGCCGACUAGGGAUCGGAUGAUGUUAAUUUUUUAAUGACUCAUUCGGCGCCUUACG
Molecule: ribosomal RNA, 500 nt
Filed under: uncultured Glomeromycotina
Lineage: Eukaryota; Fungi; Glomeromycota
Description: partial small subunit ribosomal RNA
Rfam family: Eukaryotic small subunit ribosomal RNA
Source: RNAcentral